GACGAACGCUGGCGGCGUGCUUAACACAUGCAAGUCGAGCGAGGCCCCUCCUUCGGGAGGGUGUCCUAGCGGCGAACGGGUGAGUAACACGUGGGCAACCUGCCCUCAGCUCUGGGAUAACUCCGGGAAACCGGGGCUAAUACCGGAUACGACCUCCACGGGCAUCUGCGGAGGUGGAAAGUUUUUCGGCUGAGGAUGGGCCCGCGGCCUAUCAGCUAGUUGGUGGGGUAGUGGCCCACCAAGGCGACGACGGGUAGCCGGCCUGAGAGGGCGACCGGCCACACUGGGACUGAGACACGGCCCAGACUCCUACGGGAGGCAGCAGUGGGGAAUAUUGCGCAAUGGGCGAAAGCCUGACGCAGCGACGCCGCGUGAGGGAUGAAGGCCUUCGGGUUGUAAACCUCUUUCAGCAGGGACGAAGCGAAAGUGACGGUACCUGCAGAAGAAGCACCGGCCAACUACGUG
Molecule: ribosomal RNA, 465 nt
Filed under: uncultured bacterium
Lineage: Bacteria
Description: partial 16S ribosomal RNA
Rfam family: Bacterial small subunit ribosomal RNA
Source: RNAcentral